GGGGGGGGGGGAGGGAGGGCGAAGGGGUAUCUAAUGCUUUCCAGUUGUGGAAAGUUAUAACUAAAAAUGAGGAGAAAGAGACAGAGAGAGACAGAGCAAGCCAGGCAGGGCAGAAGCAAUUGUUUUGGAGGCUAACCACUCCAGUUGGGUAGCACAAUCAGCCAUUUGACAUUCCUGUUCAGAUGCUGGUCUGCUGGACUGAUUGCAUUCUGUUUCUCUAGUUGUUUUGUGAGUACCAAUGUGGCAGAAGACACUUCUCUGCUGAACUCCUCUCCCACAGGACACUGAGCACUGAUGGGAUACAAAAAAGAGCCGUCUGUGCAAGAGGACCUAACCCAAGUGAUUUCUAAGAGGCCUUGGCUCUUCCUUUGAAUGACAAUUUUUUUAAAAAAAUCAUUUCAGUUUCCCUUUAGACCACUCUAUAUAAUCUAGAUGUGCAGCAUGUAGAAAGCAAAUAUGGACAACAAGAAUAGACAACAUGGAGCUGAUAAUGAUACGGUUGGAGUUUCCUUACAGUUUCAGAUGCUACAUCUGAAGAAGUUGCAAAUGAAGGCCCCUUUCUAUUUUGAGUGCAUCGACAAGAAAGAAAGAAAGAAAGAAAGAAAGAAAGAAAGAAAGAAAGAAAGAAAGAACGAACGAACCUUGGAGAAUAUUUAUUUCUAUUAUCACACAACUGUAUAAAUUUUAGGAUGUCAUGUGCACACUUUCAGCACUUAAUGUGGACAAAUAUAUGGGCAAAUUCUAGAACUGGCAGUAGUCAUUCAGCUCAAAGACAACCUUUGCAAGUACAGUACAUGAAAAAUGCAUGCUUUUAGCAGACAAAGUUUUUAAAUAGAAUAACUACAGUUAAGGCAACACGCUUUCAUUAAUAUUAUUUGUGGCUUUUAUAUUUGUUCUAAGGAAUCAACAUAAUACAUUUGAAUGUUACAUGCAAACAAAUUGCCACAAAAUAUCUGCCCUAUUAUUCCUUUGCUUUUUCUUUUUCUUGCAGGAACUUUUGAUGACUGGAGUAUUACAGAGAUAUGAUAUCCUAAAAAACCAACAACGUUUAGACUGGAUCCAUAGAACAGAACUCUCAUUACAAAAUGAUCCUGCAAAAUGACUAGGAGGGAACUGUCCUUGUCACUAAAUCUCCAUAUGCUUUUAAGAUUGACUCUAAGUAUCAAGAAGUGAAUCAAAAGGGGUUUUAAGAGCAGCAGGGAUUGGUUGAAAUUGCCAAUCUGUCCCUUAAUAUCACCAUAAUAAUGGUUCCCUGCACCAGGAAAGAGAUUGCCUCCAUUUCAAAAAGGCCAAAUCUUGAUGUAACUGGGUUGUUGUUUGUUUUCCGGUUGUAUGUAUGUUAUAACUUACAACCUCUUAGGAUGCCUGCCAUAGAUGUGGGCGAAACGUCAGGAGAGAAUACUUCUGGAACAUGAAAACAUACAACAACCCUGUGAUCCCGGUUAUGAAAGCCUUUGACAACACCUUGAUCUAACCUAUGCUACUGAAUGAACAACUGCAAUUUUUGUUGGUCUUCUCCACCUGGCACCUUUUCAAACCUGCCCUAUAUUUGAGGGUGAGUAUAAAUUUAAUUAAAAUGAACACAUUAAACAAUUUAACACAAUAAUUAUAAUUAAAAUAUGCUAAAACAUAUUAAACAUAGUAACAAGUUAUGAGAGAAAAAUAUUCAAGAUGAACCAAAGGUCUUGAACACAUUCACUUGGUGCCCAAAUGAAAUCAAUGUUGAUGCGAAUUAUGGAGUUUGUUCCAAAAGGUACCCAAUCCCCCAAAAAAUUGAAAAAUGAGUUAAAGCUCACAGCACAGAAUUGGCUAUCAGUAGAAUAUUAUGUAAAGAUCAAAACUAUCAGAAUGUAUCAAAUCACUUUGGUACAGGGCUUGGAAAACUGUAUUUUGUUGCAAAAGAAUGCAUAUCCUCAGCACGAUUUUCCCCCGAUCCCUGUAACAUUUGUUCAGAUGGAUUUGGUACCUUUUGGAAACAAGCUCCACAACUGGGCAUUCAAGAUGAGGGCAUUCCACAGUUGGUCAGCCACAAUUCUUUUAAGAAUUUGCUAUUUACAUUAUAUUCCAGUUGGCAGUCAAAUGGCUACAUUUUGCAUUAGCUGCAACUUCCAAGUCUUUUUCAAGGGCAGCCAAACAUAGAGUACAUUACAGCAGAAGGCUUGAGUCUUUCUGGCUAGGCUAUCUCUGUCCAGGAAAGGUCAAAUCUGGCACACCAUCCAAGGCUGGAAUCAAGUACCCAGAGUCAGAGAAUCACUUUUGAUCUCAGAAAGGGAUAGAUCUAGGAGUAUUCCCAAACUACACAUCUUCAGAAGAAAUGUAAUCUUAUCAAGAAAAAGCUGAUUACCCUAAUUCCAAGACCCAAGAACCCCUAAUCCACAGAACAUCCAUCUUAUCAUGGUAUUGAACUACAACUCCCAUUGCCUAGUUCAGCACAACCAUUAGUCAUGUCAUCUGAACACAAUGCAGAGGCAGAACAUAUAAACUCUCGAUCCAUGCAGUUUCAUGUCCUUACUUAGCAGCUUUCAAAUCCUGGCAGGGGCUGCUAGUGCUGUCAUUGCCUUCUUGGUAGGGAAGAUAUGGAGCUGGGAGGUAAACCCAAUGAUAAAAAUAUGGCUGGUCCAGUCUUGGGGAAUGGGCAGCAGAGUGUGCUCAUGAAUAAAAUACACCCUCAUUUUCCUAACCCUACAUCUCAGGCCAGACCAUAUCAACUGGACCUUUACUGUCAGAAUUGACUCCACUUUCCAUCCUUUCUGAACCCAUCCUGGGUUUUGAUAGCUGUCAGUGUGGGGAAGUUUUGGGACAGUACACAAACUACUACAGAAUAAUUUCUUGAGCACUGUCCAAAAACACAUGUGAGCCACACUUCUUAUGUCACUAAAAGGAUUCUCGCCAGUGAGAAAUAUGGUAGCUAAAGUUGGCUGGUACCUCUAUUUUGGCCAAGAUCAUACCAUCCUUUAUAUCAGUGGUUCUCAACCUGGGGUCCCCAGGUGUUUUUGGCCUUCAGCUCCCAGAAAUCCUAACAGCUGGUAAACUGGCUGGGAUUUCUGGGAGUUGUAGGCCAAAAACAUCUGGGGACCCCAGGUUGAAAACCACUGCUUUAGAUGUGCUGCCUUCCUUUCAUAUCCUCCCAUGUGUAGUCUCCAGUAACUAACUUAGAUGGACUUCACAUCUCCUCAAAACUGGUGAAAUCUGAACUAUUCGAGUUGAAGAUCUUUGUGAAGAGAUACAUGAGGAACAAAGAAAGUACUCAUUCUAAAACUGGGACAGAAACUAUGCAAACUUCCAGAUGUCGCUAUAUCUCAGACUCAGAAUUGCUCACUGUGCUGUCUAGGGCCCUCUUCACAAGUCCCUCCCCCUUGUGCUGUUUCACUGGCAGUCAGUACGACAGCUGGGAACUAGACACCAAGAAUAUUUGGAGUUACAGUAUAUGUGAUUCCCACCUGUGUUUCGGACCAACGCACAAUAUCCAUCUUGCUUGGAAAUAGACUAUUAAGAUUUUUAAAAGGGAGUAGUAAAACACUCACUUUAUAAAUUCCAACUAAAUCAAAGUUAAAUGUCCUCAGCAAUUAUGAUUUGCUUGGGGACAUGUUCCCUAACACAUCUCAAAUGAUGAGAGAGAAAGAACUGGAUGGUUAUACAGCAAAUUACCAUACACCAGGAAAAAAGGAUUAGAUUGUAGACUUCGGAGUUCUCAGAAAGAAGGAAAGAGAAAAUGGCCCAGUUCCCAUGGGCCUUUUUGUGCAGGAAAUCGGUAGAGGAAUGAAAAUAAAGAAGAGACCAAGGCACUGCAGAAAAUUAAAUAGCCUAUGCUUUCAGAUAAUAGUGUUAUUGUGUAAUGGCAAAAAUUAUUUACUAAAGAGUAAUGUUUCAGUUGGUAGGGUUAGAAUAUAAUUCUGUUCUUGCCCUUCACAGCGGGAUUUCGGAAAAGGAUGGGGAUCAAAGUGUCUCUUUUGAGACUUGCUGACUGAACUUUUACUCAAUUUCUGCUUCAUACUAACUAGUGGUGCAGUGGAAAAUUUGGAAAUGCAUGCUCCCAUGAUAGUACUUUUCUAACAUCCCAAGGACAAAACAAAACUGCAGACUGCAUAUGUAUCUGUAUAACAUUUCUGUGUAGAUUUUUUUUCUCUCAGAAAUUUUUUUUCUGCAUAGAAAUGUAUUUUCCUGAGCAGACAGUGCUUUUUUUUUUUGAGUUACAUGCAUAUUUUUGUACAGAAUAAGCCUUGGACUGCAAAUAGUUUUCAAAACUUCAGUUUUCAACAACUCUUCACAGCCUGAGGGAAUGAAAUUUUAAAAUAUGUACAUUCCCAAAAUAUGGAUAGUAGGAUUGUCAACACAACCUAUGAUGUUUACAGAAUCUAGAAACAAAGGAAUCAAAUACUCUACAAGGACAAGGGAAAAUGUUACAAGAACAAAGACUGGAUCCUGUGCGGAAAAACUGCAUCCAAUGUUUAAUUUGUACCACUAAAUCAAUUUAGUUCUCCAUCAUAUUUAUAUAUUUACUGUACUGUGCUAUCCGUAAGGUCCCUGAUGGGUGAUGGAUUGCUAAACUGGAAGUGGACAUUGGACAGCAAAGCUGUUUGUGUCCAUAUCAUAGAAGCACCAGUUCCUCCUUAUUUUCAUCAGUGUCCCACAGCAGCUCAACCUGUUCUUUUAGGAUCAUGAGUUCCAUGCCAAAGCUAAAGUUACUUUUAAAAGGAAUGUAUUAUGGAACAUGUUGUUGUUGAGUGCCUUCAAGUAAUCACAGUGUUUUCAGAGCUGAUUUGCCAUGGCCUUCAUCCUAGGCUGCGCGAGCAUAACUUGUUCAAGGUCACUCAAUGGGUUCCAUGGUUGAACAGGAAUUCAAAGUCUGAUCUCUAGAUCACUCAAAUUGUUUCAUCACAUUGCCCUCAUAUGAAACUCACUACAGCCCCAGAAACAAGAAAAAGGAUCUUCAAAAAGGUAAUAUUGCAAUCCAUUAUGUUAUCUUAGUAAUGUAACAUCUUCACAGCUGUUUCCAAAGAAAAGCACCAGAUUCCAUCUGAUCUUGGAAACUAAGCAGGGUCGGCCCUAAUUAGUAUUUGGAAGAGAAACUAUCAACAAAUACCAGGUACUGUAGGUUUUAUUUCAAAGGAAGAUAUUGGCAAAACCACCUCUGAGUACUUCUUUCCGAAGAAAAAAAAUGACACAAUUUAUGAACUUGAAGGUACAACGACAACAACGAUAACAACAUUACUUGCAAUAUGUUACUCCAGGCUGUGUACUCUCCAUAAGUGACACUCCUAAAAGUGAAAGAUUAUUUUCUAGUCAGAAUGACACCAAGUAUAGCAUUGCACCAGGUUUCUAGUAACAACAUAUUUCUUUGCACAUUGACAUAACAGAUUUAUUCUGUGAUGUAUCCAUAACCUGAUUUUUUUUGGGGGGGGGGGGGGGGGCUUGAAAUGUUCAUUUCAACAUUUUGAAGGCAUGUACAAACCUGUCCCAAGACAAAAUACAAAAUGUACAUUCUUGACAGAAUUUUCAUCACAGGAAAGACUGCCAUGAUUUCAUUGUGUAAA
Anolis carolinensis (green anole) is the source of this 5534-nucleotide long non-coding RNA. RefSeq lists it as uncharacterized. The transcript has 4 exons. The record is from RefSeq and is a predicted model, not a curated record. Lineage: Eukaryota; Metazoa; Chordata; Lepidosauria; Squamata; Anolidae.